Lates calcarifer (barramundi perch) is the source of this 576-nucleotide long non-coding RNA. RefSeq lists it as uncharacterized. The transcript is spliced from 3 exons. The record is from RefSeq and is a predicted model, not a curated record. NCBI's taxonomy places the organism in Eukaryota, Metazoa, Chordata, Actinopteri, Centropomidae.
GCGUGGUGUCGUUGUGGCGAACUUGACACAUUUACAACAACUCUGGAAACGGCGUCAGUGACAGUUGGUCUUUCCGUUACACAGCGCAAACGCUGCUGGGAAAACCUUCAAGAAGAAGUGAAGAAGUUGAAGCACAGGCCCAGCUGCUCCAGGUCCUCUCUGGGACUGCACAGCUCUCCUCUGCCAUGGAGUAAUUUUUCAAAAAGUUUUUGCCACAACACGUCUACUGUCAACCCCUCUCCUUCUCUUUGGCAUCUUCUGAAGGAGUGUCUCACCUUGCCAGAGUUGGACAAUCACGAUGAUGAGCACUGACGCCCGGCAGCAGAGGUUCAGCUCAUGACUGCAAACCAUGAAGCAGCCAGGGAAGUGACCUCGGUGGACACUACAGGCUGAGGGUGCCACAUACUGGCACCAUGGCAUCCAAGGAGAGACUGUAUGAAGUCUGGAUGCUCUACUACACUAAGAGGGAUCCAGACUACUUGAAGUUAUGGCUGGAGAUUUUCAUCAGCUCCUAUGAGCGAUGCCUGGAUGUGGACUUUGAAAAGCCACCUUCAAGGUAACUUGUAGCAAACUGUG